UGCAGCACCAACAGAGAUCUGAAGAGUGAAACACGUUUGAAUCUCCUCACAUAAUAUCUGGGGAGAACCCCAACCUGUGAAAAAUGAAAGGAGAAAAAAAAGAUACAGAAUAUUCCCGUGGAAUCUGGACCAACUCUAGAGACCAACAGAGCAUGGCGGAAGAGACUGCUGGCUCCAGAGAUUAGGACAAGCUAUCCUAGGUUUGGAUCCAUAAAGGGUUGUGUCACAUAUACAAAAGGCACAGCACCCCGUGAAACUCCAGGUGUGGGUCUGAGGUUGCUGAGACCGAUCAUCAUGAAGCGUUCAUUUAAUAUACAAAUUUGAUAUGAGAGAAGAACAUUGGAGCAGAGACGUCAGAAACGUGUCCAACAAAGGCCAAAGCCGUCGCAGAAGAAAGAUGCUCUGCUUUCACUGAUGCUGCUGUCUAGUUAUUUUCCUCCUCCCACUUCUUAGUAUUUUAUCAAAUUUCCUUUAUAGUCAACAGCUGAUAUAAGGUGUCAGAUUAUUGUGUGCUCAACCACUCAGUCAUGUCCCACUCUGCAACCCCAUGAACUGUAGGUAGCCUACCAGGCUCCUCUGUCCAUGUGAUUGCCCAGGCAAGAAUACAGGAGUGGGUUGUCAUUUCCUCCUCCAGGGGAUCUUCCUGUCCCAGGGAUCAAACCUGCAUCUCUUAUAUCAAAUUAUUAGCCAAAUCAUAAUAUAAUAGGAGAGGGUACACAGCACGUGCAAAACCGUAUCUCUGCAGUUGCACAAAUGAGAACAAUUUUGAUCCCACUUAACCAGGUAACUUUUCAGGAAAAAUAAAAUUAUCUCCCCCUGGUCUAGACCACAGUGACCUUCAUAAGUCCCCAAGAGCAAAUGGCUUCCAAUGGAAAUCAACCAGCCAUGUUACUUUUUCAACUAGAACAUUUUCUUGAAAGGCCACAAAGAUUAAACUCCUUAUGCAAAUCAUAAGGCUUUUCAAUUGCUGUCAUUUCAUGUUGCAAAAAGAUAAAGUCUAAAUAUUCUGCUGGAUUAAAUAACCCACAUCACCCUAUGAUAAAAUACAUGAAUUAGUAGGUUUGGCCUGACAUAAGUGCCCGUCUUCUAUAUGAGCAUAUUUUAUUCAAGGUCAUAUAAAUGAGAAUAAAUAACUUCAAUAAAAAUAAACAUCUUCACCAUUGUUAACAAUCUCAGAAAAAUUGGCAUUCGCUUUUUAUGGCAUUUGUUCAAUACUCCUUCAACAGACAGAGGGUUUGAUUCUCCCCAGAGGAGAAAAAGUGGAAUCUUCCCCAGGAAAUAGCAUGUUUAUUGCAGGUGGGUGCCUCUGUUUUUUCAGUCUAGGGAAAUGUGGUGACCUGUUUCCUUCUGUAAGCGAAAACUGACAUUAUGUGUACAAAACCCAGGUGAUUGUAAUUGGGAGUCACCCCUCCUUGAAUAUUAAGGUGCUAUUUGUAGGUUAUUCAAAAAGUGAGUUGACAGUUAUUUUUAAGAAUUUGAUUUUAUGACAAGGCAAGGAAUUGUUUGAAGUAUUUAAACAACUAAUUGAUACUUCUCAGCAAGACACCUUAACCAAAUCAAGAAUCUCUCUUAGUUUGGGACAAGCUUUUUGCCAGUGUUUGAAUAACAUCACAUCUUCCAAGACAGCACUUACAGGCUUCUGUUUAUGUAGCAUCAGAGCCACCUGCAAACUUUUCCCCUGUGUUUCCACCCUAUGUAC
This is a long non-coding RNA of Cervus elaphus (red deer), 1699 nucleotides long. RefSeq lists it as uncharacterized. The record is from RefSeq and is a predicted model, not a curated record. The transcript is spliced from 4 exons. Lineage: Eukaryota; Metazoa; Chordata; Mammalia; Artiodactyla; Cervidae.